GUUUUACUCCCUCCGUUCCAAAAUAAGUGACUCAAGUUUGAACUAAAUUUAGUACAAAGUUAGUACAAACUUGAGUCACUUAUUUUGGGACGGAGGGAGUACUUU
Non-coding RNA from Triticum aestivum (bread wheat), 105 nucleotides. The record is from Rfam. Lineage: Eukaryota; Viridiplantae; Streptophyta; Magnoliopsida; Poales; Poaceae.